This 490-nucleotide ribosomal RNA is filed under the name uncultured bacterium. RNAcentral's name for it is "partial 16S ribosomal RNA". It matches the Rfam family "Bacterial small subunit ribosomal RNA", at positions 29 to 507 of the family's 1533-position model. The record is from RNAcentral.
AGUGAACGCUGGCGGCAGGCCUAACACAUGCAAGUCGAACGGCAGCACAAGAGAGCUUGCUCCCUGGGUGGCGAGUGGCGGACGGGUGAGGAAUGCAUCGGAAUCUGCCCAUUUGUGGGGGAUAACCCCGGGAAACCGGGACUAAUACAGCAUACGACCUACGGGUGAAAGCAGGGGAUCUUCGGACCUUGCGCAGAUGGAUGAGCCGAUGCCGGAUUAGCUAGUUGGAGGGGUAAAGGCCCACCAAGGCGACGAUCCGUAGCUGGUCUGAGAGGAUGAUCAGCCACACUGGAACUGAGACACGGCCCAGACUCCUACGGGAGGCAGCAGUGGGGAAUAUUGGACAAUGGGCGCAAGCCUGAUCCAGCCAUGCCGCGUGUGUGAAGAAGGCCUUCGGGUUGUAAAGCACUUUUGUUGGGAAAGAAAAGCAGCCGGUUAAUACCCGGUUGUCAUGACGGUACCCAAAGAAUAAGCACCGGCUAACUUCGUG